CUGGCGGCGCGCUUAAGCAUGCAAGUCGGACGGCAAGAUGAGAGCUUGCUCUCAUCCUAGAGUGGCGGACUGGUGAGUAACACGUGGGUGACGUACCCCCGGGACGGGGAUAGCUCCUAGAAAAUGGAGAUAAUACCGGAUACGACCGCAGACGUAGAGGUCUGCGAGGAAAGGAGCUCUGGCUCCGCCCGGGGAACGGCCUGCGGCCCAUUAGCUAGUUGGUGUGGUAACGGCAUACCAAGGCGAUGAUGGGUAUCCGGCCUGAGAGGGUGAACGGACACAUUGGGACUGAGACACGGCCCAAACUCCUACGGGAGGCAGCAGUGGGGAAUAUUGCACAAUGGGCGAAAGCCUGAUGCAGCGAACGCCGCGUGAGUGAUGAAGUAUUUCGGUAUGUAAAGCUCUAUCAGCAGGGAAGAAAAAUGACGGUACCUGACUAAGAAGCCCCGGCUAACUACGUGCCAGCAGCUGC
RNAcentral lists this ribosomal RNA (472 nucleotides) under uncultured bacterium. RNAcentral describes it as "bacterial SSU rRNA". It matches the Rfam family "Bacterial small subunit ribosomal RNA", at positions 36 to 518 of the family's 1533-position model. The record is from RNAcentral.